RNAcentral lists this transfer RNA (72 nucleotides) under Ailuropoda melanoleuca (giant panda). It matches the Rfam family "tRNA". Rfam says of the family: Transfer RNA (tRNA) molecules are approximately 80 nucleotides in length. Their secondary structure includes four short double-helical elements and three loops (D, anti-codon, and T loops). Lineage: Eukaryota; Metazoa; Chordata; Mammalia; Carnivora; Ursidae. The record is from Rfam by way of RNAcentral.
GCCUGGCUGGCUCAGUCAGUAGAGCAUUCAACUCUUGAAAUUCGGUUGUAAGUUCAAGCCCUAUGUUGGGCG